RNAcentral lists this ribosomal RNA (468 nucleotides) under uncultured bacterium. Its description in RNAcentral is "partial 16S ribosomal RNA". It matches the Rfam family "Bacterial small subunit ribosomal RNA", at positions 28 to 507 of the family's 1533-position model. The record is from RNAcentral.
GACGAACGCUGGCGGCGUGCUUAACACAUGCAAGUCGAACGGAAAGGCCCUGCUUUUGUGGGGUGCUCGAGUGGCGAACGGGUGAGUAACACGUGAGUAACCUGCCCUUGACUUUGGGAUAACUUCAGGAAACUGGGGCUAAUACCGGAUAGGAGCUCCUGCUGCAUGGUGGGGGUUGGAAAGUUUCGGCGGUUGGGGAUGGACUCGCGGCUUAUCAGCUUGUUGGUGGGGUAGUGGCUUACCAAGGCUUUGACGGGUAGCCGGCCUGAGAGGGUGACCGGCCACAUUGGGACUGAGAUACGGCCCAGACUCCUACGGGAGACAGCAGUGGGGAAUAUUGCACAAUGGGCGGAAGCCUGAUGCAGCAACGCCGCGUGCGGGAUGACGGCCUUCGGGUUGUAAACCGCUUUCGCCUAUGACGAAGCGUGAGUGACGGUAAUGGGUAAAGAAGCACCGGCUAACUACGUG